GACUCCGUCUCAAAAAAAAAAAGAAAACAAAACAAAAGUGUAUGUCUUUUCUCUUAUUAAUCAAUCUGCCUCAUGUCUGUCAUUUACAGCAAACCUAUAGGGGACCAAGAGCUUUCAGUCCCCAAGAAGAGCUUCUUGAGUUUAAACCAAAAAUUUAAAGAGCGAAAUCCGGCCGGGCGCGGUGGUUCACGUCUGUAAUCCCAGCCGUUUGGGAGGCGAAGUCUGCAGGUAUACCCAGCAGCUCCGAAGAGACAGCAACCAUCAAGAACGGGCCAUGAUGCAAUGGCAGUUUUGUCAAAAAGGAAAGGGGGAAAUGUGGGGAAAAGAAAGAGAUCAGAUUGUUACUGUGUCUAUAUAGAAAA
Molecule: long non-coding RNA, 362 nt
Organism: Nomascus leucogenys (northern white-cheeked gibbon)
Lineage: Eukaryota; Metazoa; Chordata; Mammalia; Primates; Hylobatidae
Exons: 2
Source: RefSeq, a predicted model, not a curated record